AUUGUCUGUACAGAACCUUUUCCGAAAGAUUGUGUUCCAAGAAUAAUAGCUCUUUUAUGAUCUUGAAGAGCGCCUGCAACAAUUUCUGAAGCGGAAGCAGACCCGUUGUUAAUCAAUACAAUUAAUUUUGAACCUUCGGUGAGGUCCCCUGAUUUUGCAUGAACGCGUGAUGUAUUCUCUGGUUCGCGCCCUCGGGUAGAUACAAUUUCCCCUUGGUUGAGAAAUAUAUCACUUACAGAGAUCGCUUGAUUGAGAAGUCCGCCUGGAUUAUUUC
This 274-nucleotide non-coding RNA is filed under the name marine eukaryotic metagenome. The record is from RNAcentral.